This 1929-nucleotide ribosomal RNA is filed under the name Triticum aestivum (bread wheat). RNAcentral's name for it is "partial small subunit ribosomal RNA". The record is from RNAcentral. Lineage: Eukaryota; Viridiplantae; Streptophyta; Magnoliopsida; Poales; Poaceae.
GUAGCGGCGGAGCUCCGGGAGACGAUGGACGCGCUGGCGCAGCGGGUGAGCGUGCUGCGGGCCUCGCUGCAGAGCAGCCAAGGGAACACGGAGGGCAUGGUCGCCAUCCUCGGCUCAUUCGACCAGCGCCUCUCCGAGCUCGAGGCCACCAUACACCCCAUCCAGGUGAGGGCGCACGCGACCCAGAUGGCGCAUGAGAACAUCGACAAGGCGAUCAAGGUCGCCGAUGACAUCCUCGCCCAGGUCGUCAUCGUCCGCGAGGCAGAAGCUACGAUAUUGAGGGGGCCCCAUGUGGAUCUGGAGAGCUACCUGAAAGCUGUGGGUCAUCUGAAAGACGCUGUUGGUUUUUUCUCCUCGAGGGAGAACUUUACGAGUAAAGAACGAUUUCUGAAUGAUGUAAACGUUCUCUUAUCUAAGUCUUCUCUGAUGGUUGAGGAAGAAUUCAAGUGGUUGAUGACAACAUACAGCAAACCUAUUGAGGGUGAUCUUAUAUUGGGUUCGCCUCCAAAGCUUCAAUGGGCGUCAGAUGGCAAUGCUGAAGCAGAUGGACGAAAUUCUGCCCAUUCCGAGCAUCCAUCCAAAGACUUGGAAACUGCCAUUUGCAGGACUCCAGCACUGAUCCCCUCUAGAAUAUUACCCCUUCUUCAUACUAUAGCUCAGAAAUUGGUCCAGGAUGGAAACCAGCAGUCAUGCUACAAAAUUUACAGAGAUGCUCGUCGUUCGGCAUUAGAACUGAGUCUUCGGAAACUGGGAGUAGAAAAGCUUAUUAAAGAUGAUGUAGAAAGAAUGCAAUCGGAUGCUUUAGAAGCUAAAAUUGGAAAGUGGACCAAGUAUUUGCAAAUUACAGUGAAACUCCUUGCUGGAGAACGAAAAAUUUGUUAUGAGGUUUUUGAAGGUAUCAGUUUCAACAAGGAUCAGUGUUUCACUGAACUGGCAGGAACUGGAGUUGCUGUUGCUAAAACUCUUCUCAGCUUUGGAGAUGCUGUUGCUAAAAGUAAAAGGUCUCCUGAAAAGUUGUUUGUACUGCUGGAUAUGUAUGAAGUAAUGCAUGAAGUUAGAUCCGAGGUUGAAGUAAUUUUUCAAGACAGUUUUUGCUCGGAGAUGCGUGAGGCUGCAUUGGGCUUGAUGAAGCUCUUGGCACAGACUGCCCACGAAAUGUUUGUUAAUUUUGAGGAAUUAGUUGAGAAGGAUACUUCAAAGACUAACGUCCAUGACGGAACUGUCCAUCCUUUGACUAUCCGUGUGAUCAAUCAUGUUAAAUUCCUUUUUGAUUAUCAGUCAACACUGAAUCUACUAUUUCAAGAAUUUGAAACUGGAAGUGAUACUGAAUCCCAACUUGCAGUUGUUUUGACAAAGAUAAUGCAAGCCCUUCAGAACAACUUAGAUGGGAAAUCUAACCAGUACAAGGAUCCUGCGCUGAUGAGCAUAUUUCUUGCGAACAACAUUCACUACAUGGUUAGUUCUGUUCGCAGAUCAGAAGCCAAGCAUAUACUUGGUGAUGACUGGAUUCAGAUACAUCGUAGGAUUGUACAGCAACAUGCCAAACAAUACAAAAUGGUUGCAUGGGGAAAGGCUGUUCAGACGCUCUCCAUUCAAGUUGCCAGCAGCAGUGCAUCGUCUGAUCUUAGCAGCAGUGGAGUUUCAAGAGCUAUGAUCAAAGAAAGGUUUAAGUCUUUCAAUAUGCAAUUUGAAGAGCUUCGUGCAAAGCAAUCUCUAUGGACCAUACCUGAUCAAGAACUGAGAGAAACUCUGAGGCCUUCUAUAGCUGAAGUUCUCUUGCCAGCCUAUAUGUCCUUCGUUAAACGUUUUGGGAAUCUUGUUGAAAAUGAAAAGAAGCCUCGUAAAUACUUGAAAUACCAGCCAGAUGAGUUGGACCAGUUGCUGGGUGAGUUCUUUGAAGGACAACAAUCUGUUGAACAGAAGAAGUAA